This 281-nucleotide ribosomal RNA is filed under the name uncultured prokaryote. RNAcentral describes it as "partial 16S ribosomal RNA". It matches the Rfam family "Bacterial small subunit ribosomal RNA", at positions 26 to 303 of the family's 1533-position model. The record is from RNAcentral.
AGAUUGAACGCUGGCGGCAUGCCUAACACAUGCAAGUCGAGCGGCAGCGCGGGGGCGACCCUGGCGGCGAGCGGCGGACGAGUGAGUAAGGCAUCGGAAUCUGCCCUGAUGGUGGGGGAUAACGUAGGGAGACUUACGCUAAUACCGCAUACGACCGAGAGGUGGAAAGGCGGGGGACCGAAAGGCCUCGCGCAGCAGGAUGAGCCGAUGUCCGAUUAGCUAGGUUGGGUCGGGGUAACCGCCUACCAAGGCGACGAUCGGUAGCUGGUCUGAGAGGAUGA